ACACAAGAAUUCUAACACUUUUGGGUUCCUAACAGGGUUCGUCAUCAGCAAGGUCAUUAGGUCAUCAGGAAGAACAUGCAUAAAAAAAAAAAAAAAUUGAACAAUCCAGAAUCAGGCAUGUUCUUCCUGGGAAUUUGUUUGAUGCAUGAAUAGAUUCGUCGGAGGCUCGGCGAAGAACACCGCCUUUGAUAAGUUUUUUUUUUUUUUUUUUUUUUUUUUCCUAUCUAGAUUUUUGUUGGGUAGCGAUUAAUUUCCUACUUUGAGUUGAUUUUAGCAAACAACACCGCAGCCAGAUCCGUCUUUACCUUCUGAUCUCCUCAAUACAAUGGAACUAAAUGUGAAGAUAGUUUAUGCUUGAAUAUGCUCAAGUUUUAUUUUAUAUUAGGCUCAGAAAUCAUUGAUCUUGAACAGCAGCACAGGAGCAAUAGUGACAGCUUUUUCUAUAUCCUACAGAUUGGGACCAGAUGCAGAGAGUUGCUACUGGAAUCAAUGCUUUGAAUUGUGAUUUUGUGGGGAGCGAGACGGAAGUGGGUCAGUUUAUUUGUGCUUAAAGGAAGAAACUUUUUUGGUGUUGGAGGGAAUUAGGAUUUUGGGUGACUUGUUAUUUGAUAGUGAGCUUGGAGAGUUUGGAGAGUUGAAUGUAAGGUUUGGUGGCUUUACAGGGUGAUGUGGUAGAGAAGCUGAUAUAUCAGAUAUGCAAGAACCCUCAUCCAAAUAUUGUUGUUUUAACUGUUGCAGCAGUUUCGAUAUGGCAGGUUUGUUCAACAAAAGUUAGGAGGGCUAUCUGUGCGUCUUGAUAUGAAAAGAUGCAGGCUGAUUUAUCAUUUGCGGAUGAACCAUGACCAAACGUUUCACAGUUUACCAAAAGAGCAGCGCAGAGAUCUGCUCAUUCUUUACUCUUUGCAACUAUUGAAGCAGAAGAGAUUUGGGUUUCACUGCCUACUGCAGUACAUAACUUGGAUAGGUUUCUGUGAAUAAUCCUUAAACUCGCAACAGUAAUUGGUCUUCAAGAGUUGCCGGCAAUUCUCUAUUUACUAAAGCUCCUGUACUGUUCCUAAGCACUAUUCCUAUCAACAGUAAAAUGGCGCUUUUGUCCAUGAGGUUUAUGUUAUGUUGUGAGAAAAGGGUCGGUGUAUUUGCGCGUUCGGGAAACCUCCAUCGACUGUAGCUAUCAAGCUGUGAGAUACAGGCGUAGAAGCGUAGCAUCGACUGUCCGAUAGAAGCGUAGCAUCGCAUUGAUCAAGUUCUGAGAUACAAAGGUUGCGCUGAAAACAAGUGGGAGAGGUUUGGUUUUCAAAAUUUAUUUGCCAGAUUUGGGAUUUUGAAUUGUUGAUUUGAUGUCAUCGUAGGUUGCUGGGGUGGGAAAGAGAAGAAGAGAGAUUCAAGAUUGUGGUGGACUUUGGGGGGAGGGAUUAGGUUUGUUUCCGGAGAGGUGGAUUCGAAAAUUUUGAUCGAGUUUGGGGGAUAGCUUUCAGCAGGAGAACAUGUGUGUUUGAUUUUGGGUUUGUAUGAGUUGUUUAAAAUUGUGGUUUUGAUUGAGUUUUGUGUGCGUUUGAAUGGUGCUGAGAGUGAUGAUGUUUUUGUUAUGUGGUGAGAGUGAAAUAUCUGAUGUUGUUCUCUGUUUAUAUGGAUGUGUUGUUUUUGUAUGUGGUUGCUUUAGUGUGAUGCAUUUGUUCUUAGUGCGAUGCAGCAUGUACUAUGAUGUAUUUUCAGUUGGUUAUCAAUUAGUAGAUAGUGUUUCCGAAAUUGAAAUCUUGAUUAUGGGUUUUGAUUUAAUUCCGAUGAUAUGCGGUUGAGGAAUGGAAAAGAAAUUUAUUUGAAGUUUUUGUGUUUGGGUUUGUAAAUUCCAUGGUCUGCUUUCUGUGAUUAGCUUCAUGUACACUAGCAUUUUUUUCUGGGUUCAUUUUUCUUGAGAAACCCACAAGAUUUUGAAUUGUUGUCUUGAUUUUGCUUCACCUAAUGAAGUGAGGGAGUGAAUAUAUGCUUCUGAUAUAGUUUUCUGGUAAUGAUCAUAAACAUCAGCUUCAUGUUUCUUGGACCUGUUCAUUUUAAAUCCUUUCCUUAUGUAGUUCUUCAUUAUCAGUAAAUGUUUAUUUAUGUGUGUUUAUAUAGAGUUAGGUAUCUGCAGCAAAAACAGAACAAACAUAAUGAGCAAUGACAUUCUAUGGUGAUUAAUAGUCAAUGGGAAAACUUCUCAUACCUUAGCAUUCUCCUUAUAGUCAAAUGCUCACCGGAGUUUCAUCUUCAGGGAGGCAGAGAAAACUAGAUUCUUAACCUAAACCGGGCAGAAUAUUAGGUUAUGUAAUAACUCAUGAAUAAGCUGAUCUCUUGAAUUGCUAUUCUAACAAUUUCAGUUCUUGGAGCUGCUUACCAGAAUGAGGCCUAUAAUGUUUUUGGGAUUGCCGGACUAGUAGCUUCAUCUCUGUUUCAAAAGUUGAAAUCAGUUAGAAACAACAAAGACGUGAACAGUGACUUAGUCUGCUGCGUCUCAAAGGUUGAUUUGUGCUGAUCUUAUUUCAUUUGAGGCUUUCAAGUUUGAAGCGACUUAGCUUCUGAGGUCUAUCUUGUGUGGUGCUGUUGUUUCAUUCAAGCCUUUGAAGUAACUUAGCUUCUUAGGGAAAGGGAUAGUUCAUGCUCUUGAAGAAAAUGCUAGAGCUUCCUACAAUUUGUACACUUUGAACUACAGAGCCGUUUAAGAAAGAACCAAUUCAGAGUACAUCAUUCCAGGGUUGUAUACAGAAUUACAGAUCGAAUUAAAGUAUGUUCAUGAACACACCAAGUCGAACAAGUCGGAGAUAAUAAUCUGUGCCAUUAGGUAACCUCAAUGCAAUAUCUCUGUAAGCCAAAAAAAAAAGAGAACAAAAGUGUAGCAAGGGAAGAAACCAAGAUGCAUUAUUGGCUGCUUGCCUACACAUUGCUUGUAAACAAGAAGACAAGCCCAGAACUCUCAAGGAAAUCUUCUCCGUCGCGAAUGGAGCCUCAAAGAAAGAGAUUGGUAGAGCAAAGGAAUACAUAAUCAAGCAACUGGGGUUAAUGGAGAAGCCGUUACAAGUAGCAAAUGCUAGGGACUAUAUGAGGCGAUUCUGUUCCUCUCUUGGCUUGAACAAUCAAGCAAUCAAAGCAGCACAACAAGCUGUGCACAAGUCGCAAGAAUUUGAUAUAAGGAGGAGCCCUGUAUCGAUAGCCGCAGCAGUGAUUUGCAUCAUCACUCAGCUUUCAGAUGUAGUAACAAGAAGCCUCUCAAAGAUAUCGCAGACGUUACAGGAGUAGCACCAGCAACUAUCAAAAAUUCAUACAAUAUCAUCUGAAUUUGUCAAGAUGAUCAAUAGGGACAGGCCCUGAAAGUGUUGUCAAGCUGAUUAAUUGUAGAAUAUGUUCAUGCAGAGUUUUUCUUUGUUGUAUUAAACUAGUAUCUAUGAACAAUUUACAACGUGAUAAACUGAAGCUUGCAUUAACUUCACAUAAAAUCAGGUUUUACUUU
Long non-coding RNA from Rosa chinensis, 3481 nucleotides. RefSeq lists it as uncharacterized. The transcript is spliced from 11 exons. NCBI's taxonomy places the organism in Eukaryota, Viridiplantae, Streptophyta, Magnoliopsida, Rosales, Rosaceae. The record is from RefSeq and is a predicted model, not a curated record.